This 459-nucleotide ribosomal RNA is filed under the name uncultured bacterium. RNAcentral's name for it is "partial 16S ribosomal RNA". It matches the Rfam family "Bacterial small subunit ribosomal RNA", at positions 338 to 795 of the family's 1533-position model. The record is from RNAcentral.
CCUACGGGGGGCUGCAGUGAGGAAUAUUGGUCAAUGGGCGGAAGCCUGAACCAGCCAAGUAGCGUGCGGGAUGACGGCCCUACGGGUCGUAACCCGCUUUUUCACGGGGGUAACACCCUCCACUUGUGGAGGUCUGCAGGUACCGUUCGAAUAAGGGCCGGCUAAUUCCGUGCCAGCAGCCGCGGUAAUACGGAAGGCCCGAGCGUUAUCCGGAUUCCUUGGGGUUAAAGGGAGGGUAGGCGGGAGGUAAAGUCAGCUGGAAAAUCGCGCGGCUCAACCGCGCACCGCAGUUGAAACUGGAGGCCUUGAGGUCACAAGAGGUAGGCGGAAUGCGGGGGGUAGCGGUGAAAUGAAUAGAUAUCACGAGGAACCCCGAUGGCGAAGGCAGCCUGCCGGGGUGCGACUGACGCUGAGGCUCGAAGGUGCGGGUAGCAAACAGGAUUAGAUACCCCGGUAGUC